This 472-nucleotide ribosomal RNA is filed under the name uncultured bacterium. Its description in RNAcentral is "partial 16S ribosomal RNA". It matches the Rfam family "Bacterial small subunit ribosomal RNA", at positions 355 to 815 of the family's 1533-position model. The record is from RNAcentral.
UGGGGAAUAUUGCACAAUGGGCGCAAGCCUGAUGCAGCCAUGCCGCGUGUGUGAAGAAGGCCUUCGGGUUGUAAAGCACUUUCAGCGAGGAGGAAGGUGGGUGAACUUAAUACGUUCAUCAAUUGACGUUACUCGCAGAAGAAGCACCGGCUAACUCCGUGCCAGCAGCCGCGGUAAUACGGAGGGUGCAAGCGUUAAUCGGAAUUACUGGGCGUAAAGCGCACGCAGGCGGUUUGUUAAGUCAGAUGUGAAAUCCCCGGGCUCAACCUGGGAACUGCAUUUGAAACUGGCAAGCUAGAGUCUCGUAGAGGGGGGUAGAAUUCCAGGUGUAGCGGUGAAAUGCGUAGAGAUCUGGAGGAAUACCGGUGGCGAAGGCGGCCCCCUGGCACGAAGACUGACGCUCAGGUGCGAAAAGCGUGGGGAGCAAACAGGAUUAGNUACCCUGGUAGUCCACGCUGUAAAACGAUGUCGA